GUGAAUUCCGGCGGAAAUGAGCAUUCGGCGAUGUCCAUCAAUGAUGAUAGCUCGGUGAUCAUAACUCACAUUAAACGGUUUGAAAUACUCGCCGGCGACGGCGACGGCGAGUAACGCCGCGGCGAGUAGACGUAAGAGAGCAAUAUGACUUCGCAUAGUUUAUUAUAAAUUAUUAAUAAGAUAUAAAUAUUACAAACUGAAAAUAAUAUAGUGAGGACAGAGGAAGAGUUAAGUACAGAGAUGAAGAGUGGAUAACUAUUAUUGUCCAGGUACGCCAGAAAAGAAUGGAACUUUAACAUUAAAGUUUGUGCGUCUUUUUUCGAUGGAUGAUGUGUGUCGUUGAGGAAUGUACACCUGUCCGGGACUCCGGUAUAUAAUCUCAAACAGGGUUAAUUAUCUAAUUGGACACUCACUUAACAAAUUGCACACUCACUUAACAUUAAUAUAUCAUCCGAAACACUUUUGAAUUUUCGGUAUUUGAAAUACUGUUUUCAAAAAUUGUAUCAGUCUUAAAAAUAAAAAAUUAAAUUUGAAACAAAUCGACGACUAACGCCGCGGCGAGUAAACAUAAGAGAGCAACAUGACUUCGCAUAGUUUAAAUAAAUUAUUAAUAAUAUUUAAAUAUUACAAACCGAAAAUAAUAUAGUGAGGAUAGAGGAAGAGAGUACUGAACAUAC
RNAcentral lists this long non-coding RNA (677 nucleotides) under Daucus carota (carrot). RNAcentral describes it as "long non-coding RNA (DCAR_LNC006486)". Lineage: Eukaryota; Viridiplantae; Streptophyta; Magnoliopsida; Apiales; Apiaceae. The record is from RNAcentral.